Molecule: non-coding RNA, 21 nt
Filed under: Caenorhabditis elegans
Lineage: Eukaryota; Metazoa; Nematoda; Chromadorea; Rhabditida; Rhabditidae
Source: RNAcentral
UAACUGGUCGAAGCUUGUCGA